RNAcentral lists this ribosomal RNA (1438 nucleotides) under Lactiplantibacillus plantarum. RNAcentral describes it as "bacterial SSU rRNA". It matches the Rfam family "Bacterial small subunit ribosomal RNA". The record is from RNAcentral. Lineage: Bacteria; Bacillati; Bacillota; Bacilli; Lactobacillales; Lactobacillaceae.
UGCAAGUCGAACGAACUCCUGGUAUUGAUUGGUGCUUGCAUCAUGAUUUACAUUUGAGUGAGUGGCGAACUGGUGAGUAACACGUGGGAAACCUGCCCAGAAGCGGGGGAUAACACCUGGAAACAGAUGCUAAUACCGCAUAACAACUUGGACCGCAUGGUCCGAGUUUGAAAGAUGGCUUCGGCUAUCACUUUUGGAUGGUCCCGCGGCGUAUUAGCUAGAUGGUGAGGUAACGGCUCACCAUGGCAAUGAUACGUAGCCGACCUGAGAGGGUAAUCGGCCACAUUGGGACUGAGACACGGCCCAAACUCCUACGGGAGGCAGCAGUAGGGAAUCUUCCACAAUGGACGAAAGUCUGAUGGAGCAACGCCGCGUGAGUGAAGAAGGGUUUCGGCUCGUAAAACUCUGUUGUUAAAGAAGAACAUAUCUGAGAGUAACUGUUCAGGUAUUGACGGUAUUUAACCAGAAAGCCACGGCUAACUACGUGCCAGCAGCCGCGGUAAUACGUAGGUGGCAAGCGUUGUCCGGAUUUAUUGGGCGUAAAGCGAGCGCAGGCGGUUUUUUAAGUCUGAUGUGAAAGCCUUCGGCUCAACCGAAGAAGUGCAUCGGAAACUGGGAAACUUGAGUGCAGAAGAGGACAGUGGAACUCCAUGUGUAGCGGUGAAAUGCGUAGAUAUAUGGAAGAACACCAGUGGCGAAGGCGGCUGUCUGGUCUGUAACUGACGCUGAGGCUCGAAAGUAUGGGUAGCAAACAGGAUUAGAUACCCUGGUAGUCCAUACCGUAAACGAUGAAUGCUAAGUGUUGGAGGGUUUCCGCCCUUCAGUGCUGCAGCUAACGCAUUAAGCAUUCCGCCUGGGGAGUACGGCCGCAAGGCUGAAACUCAAAGGAAUUGACGGGGGCCCGCACAAGCGGUGGAGCAUGUGGUUUAAUUCGAAGCUACGCGAAGAACCUUACCAGGUCUUGACAUACUAUGCAAAUCUAAGAGAUUAGACGUUCCCUUCGGGGACAUGGAUACAGGUGGUGCAUGGUUGUCGUCAGCUCGUGUCGUGAGAUGUUGGGUUAAGUCCCGCAACGAGCGCAACCCUUAUUAUCAGUUGCCAGCAUUAAGUUGGGCACUCUGGUGAGACUGCCGGUGACAAACCGGAGGAAGGUGGGGAUGACGUCAAAUCAUCAUGCCCCUUAUGACCUGGGCUACACACGUGCUACAAUGGAUGGUACAACGAGUUGCGAACUCGCGAGAGUAAGCUAAUCUCUUAAAGCCAUUCUCAGUUCGGAUUGUAGGCUGCAACUCGCCUACAUGAAGUCGGAAUCGCUAGUAAUCGCGGAUCAGCAUGCCGCGGUGAAUACGUUCCCGGGCCUUGUACACACCGCCCGUCACACCAUGAGAGUUUGUAACACCCAAAGUCGGUGGGGUAACCUUUUAGGAACCAGCCGCCU